RNAcentral lists this ribosomal RNA (3089 nucleotides) under Salmonella enterica. RNAcentral's name for it is "23S ribosomal RNA". It matches the Rfam family "Bacterial large subunit ribosomal RNA". The record is from RNAcentral. Lineage: Bacteria; Pseudomonadati; Pseudomonadota; Gammaproteobacteria; Enterobacterales; Enterobacteriaceae.
GGUUAAGCGACUAAGCGUACACGGUGGAUGCCCUGGCAGUCAGAGGCGAUGAAGGGCGUGCUAAUCUGCGAUAAGCGCCGGUAAGGUGAUAUGAACUGUUAUAACCGGCGAUACCCGAAUGGGGAAACCCAGUGUGAUUCGUCACACUAUCAUUAACUGAAUCCAUAGGUUAAUGAGGCGAACCGGGGGAACUGAAACAUCUAAGUACCCCGAGGAAAAGAAAUCAACCGAGAUUCCCCCAGUAGCGGCGAGCGAACGGGGAGGAGCCCAGAGCCUGAAUCAGCAUGUGUGUUAGUGGAAGCGUCUGGAAAGGCGCGCGAUACAGGGUGACAGCCCCGUACACAAAAGCGCAUGUGCUGUGAGCUCGAUGAGUAGGGCGGGACACGUGGUAUCCUGUCUGAAUAUGGGGGGACCAUCCUCCAAGGCUAAAUACUCCUGACUGACCGAUAGUGAACCAGUACCGUGAGGGAAAGGCGAAAAGAACCCCGGCGAGGGGAGUGAAAAAGAACCUGAAACCGUGUACGUACAAGCAGUGGGAGCCCCACCACCAAAGCAUUCUCUGGUGUUGAAGGCCCUGCAAAGCAGCAUCGCGGUGGCGGAGCGUCGUUUGCGACGCCCAACACACAAAACAAGCGGUGAAUGCUUUGGGGUGGGGUGACUGCGUACCUUUUGUAUAAUGGGUCAGCGACUUAUAUUCUGUAGCAAGGUUAACCGAAUAGGGGAGCCGGAGGGAAACCGAGUCUUAAUUGGGCGUUAAGUUGCAGGGUAUAGACCCGAAACCCGGUGAUCUAGCCAUGGGCAGGUUGAAGGUUGGGUAACACUAACUGGAGGACCGAACCGACUAAUGUUGAAAAAUUAGCGGAUGACCUGUGGCUGGGGGUGAAAGGCCAAUCAAACCGGGAGAUAGCUGGUUCUCCCCGAAAGCUAUUUAGGUAGCGCCUCGUGAAUUCAUCUCCGGGGGUAGAGCACUGUUUCGGCUAGGGGGCCAUCCCGGCUUACCAACCCGAUGCAAACUGCGAAUACCGGAGAAUGUUAUCACGGGAGACACACGGCGGGUGCUAACGUCCGUCGUGAAGAGGGAAACAACCCAGACCGCCAGCUAAGGUCCCAAAGUCAUGGUUAAGUGGGAAACGAUGUGGGAAGGCCCAGACAGCCAGGAUGUUGGCUUAGAAGCAGCCAUCAUUUAAAGAAAGCGUAAUAGCUCACUGGUCGAGUCGGCCUGCGCGGAAGAUGUAACGGGGCUAAACCAUGCACCGAAGCUGCGGCAGCGAACGUAUCACUUAAAGCGAUUCAGCGGGUUACGAUUGACGGAGCGAAGCGACGUCAAAGCGUAUACAAAGUCGAGUCGGUUUAAGGAUACGUUCGUUGGGUAGGGGAGCGUUCUGUAAGCCCGUGAAGGUGGCCUGUGAGGGUUGCUGGAGGUAUCAGAAGUGCGAAUGCUGACAUAAGUAACGAUAAAGCGGGUGAAAAGCCCGCUCGCCGGAAGACCAAGGGUUCCUGUCCAACGUUAAUCGGGGCAGGGUGAGUCGACCCCUAAGGCGAGGCCGAAAGGCGUAGUCGAUGGGAAACGGGUUAAUAUUCCCGUACUUGGUGUUACUGCGAAGGGGGGACGGAGAAGGCUAUGUUGGCCGGGCGACGGUUGUCCCGGUUUAAGCGUGUAGGUGUGUGUUCCAGGUAAAUCCGGUUCACUUUAACACUGAGGCGUGAUGACGAGGCACUACGGUGCUGAAGCAACAAAUGCCCUGCUUCCAGGAAAAGCCUCUAAGCAUCAGGUAACAUCAAAUCGUACCCCAAACCGACACAGGUGGUCAGGUAGAGAAUACCAAGGCGCUUGAGAGAACUCGGGUGAAGGAACUAGGCAAAAUGGUGCCGUAACUUCGGGAGAAGGCACGCUGACACGUAGGUGAAGUGAUUUACUCAUGGAGCUGAAGUCAGUCGAAGAUACCAGCUGGCUGCAACUGUUUAUUAAAAACACAGCACUGUGCAAACACGAAAGUGGACGUAUACGGUGUGACGCCUGCCCGGUGCCGGAAGGUUAAUUGAUGGGGUCAGCGUAAGCGAAGCUCCUGAUCGAAGCCCCGGUAAACGGCGGCCGUAACUAUAACGGUCCUAAGGUAGCGAAAUUCCUUGUCGGGUAAGUUCCGACCUGCACGAAUGGCGUAAUGAUGGCCAGGCUGUCUCCACCCGAGACUCAGUGAAAUUGAACUCGCUGUGAAGAUGCAGUGUACCCGCGGCAAGACGGAAAGACCCCGUGAACCUUUACUAUAGCUUGACACUGAACAUUGAGCCUUGAUGUGUAGGAUAGGUGGGAGGCUUUGAAGUGUGGACGCCAGUCUGCAUGGAGCCGACCUUGAAAUACCACCCUUUAAUGUUUGAUGUUCUAACGUGGACCCGUAAUCCGGGUUGCGGACAGUGUCUGGUGGGUAGUUUGACUGGGGCGGUCUCCUCCUAAAGAGUAACGGAGGAGCACGAAGGUUGGCUAAUCCUGGUCGGACAUCAGGAGGUUAGUGCAAUGGCAUAAGCCAGCUUGACUGCGAGCGUGACGGCGCGAGCAGGUGCGAAAGCAGGUCAUAGUGAUCCGGUGGUUCUGAAUGGAAGGGCCAUCGCUCAACGGAUAAAAGGUACUCCGGGGAUAACAGGCUGAUACCGCCCAAGAGUUCAUAUCGACGGCGGUGUUUGGCACCUCGAUGUCGGCUCAUCACAUCCUGGGGCUGAAGUAGGUCCCAAGGGUAUGGCUGUUCGCCAUUUAAAGUGGUACGCGAGCUGGGUUUAGAACGUCGUGAGACAGUUCGGUCCCUAUCUGCCGUGGGCGCUGGAGAACUGAGGGGGGCUGCUCCUAGUACGAGAGGACCGGAGUGGACGCAUCACUGGUGUUCGGGUUGUCAUGCCAAUGGCACUGCCCGGUAGCUAAAUGCGGAAGAGAUAAGUGCUGAAAGCAUCUAAGCACGAAACUUGCCCCGAGAUGAGUUCUCCCUGAGACUUAGAGUCUCCUGAAGGAACGUUGAAGACGACGACGUUGAUAGGCCGGGUGUGUAAGCGCAGCGAUGCGUUGAGCUAACCGGUACUAAUGAACCGUGAGGCUUAACCUU